AGCAGCCGCGGUAAUUCCAGUUCCAAUAGCGUAUAUUAAAGUUGCUGCAGUUAAAAAGCUCGUAGUUGAAUUUCGGGAUCAAUAUGUUGGUCGUGCCUCGGUACGUACUAGCUUAUUGGUUUCUCCCUUCUGACGAACCAUGAUGUCAUUUAUUUGGUGUUAUGGGAAAUCAGGACUGUUACUUUGAAAAAUUAGAGUGUUUAAAGCAGGCUCACGCUUGAAUACAUUAGCAUGGAAUAAUGAAAUAGGACGUUUGAUUCUAUUUUGUUGGUUUCUAGGAUCGACGUAAUGAUUAAUAGGGAUAGUUGGGGGCAUUAGUAUUCAAUUGUCAGAGGUGAAAUUCUUGGAUUUAUUGAAGACUAACUACUGCGAAAGCAUUUGCCAAGGAUGUUUUCAUUAAUCAAGAACGAAGUUAGGGGAUCGAAGACGAUCAGAUACCGUCGUAGUCUUAACCAUAAACUAUGCCGACUAGGGAUCGGAUGAUGUUAAUUUUAAUGACUCAUUCGGCGCCUUAAC
This 516-nucleotide unclassified non-coding RNA is filed under the name uncultured Glomus. RNAcentral describes it as "SSU rRNA". It matches the Rfam family "Eukaryotic small subunit ribosomal RNA", at positions 569 to 1092 of the family's 1831-position model. Lineage: Eukaryota; Fungi; Glomeromycota; Glomeromycetes; Glomerales; Glomeraceae. The record is from RNAcentral.